This 1287-nucleotide ribosomal RNA is filed under the name Streptococcus sp. RNAcentral describes it as "bacterial SSU rRNA". It matches the Rfam family "Bacterial small subunit ribosomal RNA", at positions 23 to 1285 of the family's 1533-position model. RNAcentral also lists the same sequence under 1 other name. Lineage: Bacteria; Bacillati; Bacillota; Bacilli; Lactobacillales; Streptococcaceae. The record is from RNAcentral.
CUCAGGAUGAACGGUGGCGGCGUGCCUAAUACAUGCAAGUCGUACGCUUUCUUUUUCCACCGGAGCUUGCUCCACCGGAAAAAGAGGAGUGGCGAACGGGUGAGUAACACGUGGGUAACCUGCCCAUCAGAAGGGGAUAACACUUGGAAACAGGUGCUAAUACCGUAUAACAAUCGAAACCCGCAUGGUUUUGAUUUGAAAGGCGCUUUCGGGUGUCGCUGAUGGAUGGACCCGCGGUGCAUUAGCUAGUUGGUGAGGUAACGGGUGGGCCAAGGCCACGAUGCAUAGCCGACCUGAGAGGGUGAUCGGCCACAUUGGGACUGAGACACGGCCCAAACUCCUACGGGAGGCAGCAGUAGGGAAUCUUCGGCAAUGGACGAAAGUCUGACCGAGCAACGCCGCGUGAGUGAAGAAGGUUUUCGGAUCGUAAAACUCUGUUGUUAGAGAAGAACAAGGAUGAGAGUAACUGUUCAUCCCUUGACGGUAUCUAACCAGAAAGCCACGGCUAACUACGUGCCAGCAGCCGCGGUAAUACGUAGGUGGCAAGCGUUGUCCGGAUUUAUUGGGCGUAAAGCGAGCGCAGGCGGUUUCUUAAGUCUGAUGUGAAAGCCCCCGGCUCAACCGGGGAGGGUCAUUGGAAACUGGGAGACUUGAGUGCAGAAGAGGAGAGUGGAAUUCCAUGUGUAGCGGUGAAAUGCGUAGAUAUAUGGAGGAACACUCAAGGCGGCUCUCUGGUCUGUAACUGACGCUGAGGCUCGAAAGCGUGGGGAGCAAACAGGAUUAGAUACCCUGGUAGUCCACGCCGUAAACGAUGAGUGCUAAGUGUUGGAGGGUUUCCGCCCUUCAGUGCUGCAGCUAACGCAUUAAGCACUCCGCCUGGGGAGUACGACCGCAAGGUUGAAACUCAAAGGAAUUGACGGGGGCCCGCACAAGCGGUGGAGCAUGUGGUUUAAUUCGAAGCAACGCGAAGAACCUUACCAGGUCUUGACAUCCUUUGACCACUCUAGAGAUAGAGCUUCCCCUUCGGGGGCAAAGUGACAGGUGGUGCAUGGUUGUCGUCAGCUCGUGUCGUGAGAUGUUGGGUUAAGUCCCGCAACGAGCGCAACCCUUAUUGUUAGUUGCCAUCAUUCAGUUGGGCACUCUAGCAAGACUGCCGGUGACAAACCGGAGGAAGGUGGGGAUGACGUCAAAACAGCAUGCCCCUUAUGGCCUGGGUUACACACGUGCUACAAAGGGAAGUACCACGAUGUGCGAAGGCGCGGGGCCUAGCCAAUUCCUUUAAGCUUC